Pogoniulus pusillus (Red-fronted tinkerbird) is the source of this 875-nucleotide long non-coding RNA. RefSeq lists it as uncharacterized. The record is from RefSeq and is a predicted model, not a curated record. The transcript has 3 exons. Lineage: Eukaryota; Metazoa; Chordata; Aves; Piciformes; Lybiidae.
AAGUUCCCUUAUUUAACAGGAGCUAGGUGGAACAGUAAAAAGGUUCCCAGCACCAGGCAGACAAAAGUGCUUUGUUGUAAAACUCCUUGGUGGAGCCCUUGUGAACAGGUUCCAAGAAGAACAGACCAGAGGAGGAUGGUGCAUGAGGAAAGGUCUGACUGGUAUGAAAUAAAGAUCUGUGAAGCUAUCUUCUGGGAGCUUAAAGUUCUUUGUGUCCUGGUAGUCGCUGGUACAGGUGUUACUGUAGGACCUAGAAAUCUUCAUGAUGUCUUCCCUGGGCUGGAUGCUGUUAAUACAAACCAAACAGCACAGGAAAUGGGAUCUGUUCCUCACCAGCCACAAGAGCAUUUCUCUGUAUUUGAUGUCCUGAAGAAGCAAGUGAACACAGGUGAGGUUAUGGGCUUGAGGCAUUUGGAAAGCCAUCUCAGUACCUACCUCAUGCCUUGUAGGAUUUCAACUUAGAAGGGACCCACUCCUACUCCAGUCACUUACUGGCUCAGGAGUAAAGGGCAUGAAGACCCUGAGAGAGUGCUUGGUGUAGCCCAAAUGGCAUUCUUUGACCACAAAAGGCUUCAGAUUAAGUCCAUCAAGAAAUUUGUGACUCUCAUCCACUGAUGGCAUCUGAAGGGAAGCAGAUUGCCACUUCAAAGGACUCUAGUCGUGGGCAAAUUGGUCUCUGCAAAGUAGGGGCCAGCACAUGGCCUUUUGCCAGUCUGUGUAUUGCUGUAAAACAUGACCUAGGAAAUAUUUUUGGCCUGAUUUUCUGAAACCUGUGUUCAUCCUGUGCCUGAGAAUUGGGAUUUGUACUUGGGGAACUACCUGGUUUUUGCAUGGAAGAUGGAUAUGCUAAGGAAACUCUCUGAACACAGUUAAAG